GGCAAGGUGGCCGAGUGGUUAAGGCGCAGCACUUGAAUUCUCGCAAUUUAAGUUAUGCUGUUCAUUCGUGAGCGUAGGUUCGAACCCUGCCCUUGUCG
Ascosphaera acerosa is the source of this 98-nucleotide non-coding RNA. The record is from the annotation of a GenBank genome assembly. Lineage: Eukaryota; Fungi; Ascomycota; Eurotiomycetes; Onygenales; Ascosphaeraceae.